This 727-nucleotide ribosomal RNA is filed under the name uncultured bacterium. RNAcentral describes it as "bacterial SSU rRNA". It matches the Rfam family "Bacterial small subunit ribosomal RNA", at positions 75 to 803 of the family's 1533-position model. The record is from RNAcentral.
GUUCUUCGGAACUAGAGACCGGCGCACGGGUGCGUAACGCGUAUGCAAUCUACCUUUUACAGAGGGAUAGCCCAGAGAAAUUUGGAUUAAUACCUCAUAGUAUAUAGCCCUGGCAUCAGGAUUAUAUUAAAGUCACAACGGUAAAAGAUGAGCAUGCGUCCCAUUAGCUAGUUGGUAAGGUAACGGCUUACCAAGGCUACGAUGGGUAGGGGUCCUGAGAGGGAGACCCCCCACACUGGUACUGAGACACGGACCAGACUCCUACGGGAGGCAGCAGUGAGGAAUAUUGGACAAUGGGCGCAAGCCUGAUCCAGCCAUGCCGCGUGCAGGAUGACGGUCCUAUGGAUUGUAAACUGCUUUUAUACGAGAAGAAACACUCCUUCGUGAAGGAGCUUGACGGUAUCGUAAGAAUAAGGAUCGGCUAACUCCGUGCCAGCAGCCGCGGUAAUACGGAGGAUCCAAGCGUUAUCCGGAAUCAUUGGGUUUAAGGGUCCGUAGGCGGUUUAAUAAGUCAGUGGUGAAAGCCCAUCGUUCAACGGUGGAACGGCCAUUGAUACUGUUAGACUUGAAUUAUUAGGAAGUAACUAGAAUAUGUAGUGUAGCGGUGAAAUGCUUAGAGAUUACAUGGAAUACCAAUUGCGAAGGCAGGUUACUACUAAUUGAUUGACGCUGAUGGACGAAAGCGUGGGUAGCGAACAGGAUUAGAUACCCUGGUAGUCCACGCCGU